AACCCGCCUGCAUGAAGUCGGAAUUGCUAGUAAUCGCGGAUCAGCAUGCCGCGGUGAAUACGUUCCCGGGCCUUGUACACACCGCCCGUCACACCAUGGGAGCCGGUAAUACCCGAAGUCAGUAGUCCAACCACGUGAGGACGCUGCCGAAGGUAGGAUUGGCGACUGGGGUGAAGUCGUAACAAGGUACC
Molecule: ribosomal RNA, 191 nt
Filed under: uncultured bacterium
Lineage: Bacteria
Description: partial 16S ribosomal RNA
Rfam family: Bacterial small subunit ribosomal RNA
Source: RNAcentral